AGGCCAGAAAUCCAAAAUCAAGUGUUGGCUUCUGCCAAAGCCUCUAAGGAAGAAUUCUUUGCCUUUUCUAGCUUCUGGUGGCUAACAGUUUUCCUUGGCAUAUCACAGUGUAACUCCAGUUGCUUCCUCCGUCUUUGCAGUCCUUCUUUCUUGUAUGUUAACUUGGAGGAAGAUCUUAAUUUGCUCAUUUUCAUCUUCUUGGGAGAUUUGUUUACAGUGGGCCUUCGCUAUCUAGUAAGUAUGGAUAAAAAUGGGCUGGGUUUGAAACUGGUAUUACUCUGAUAGUGUUUUUUGGAUAGAGAAUCUCCUCAGCUGAUUUCAGUGUUGGUCAUACUUCAUGUUGGUUAGGUAUCUGACUACAUGGAAAGUUGCCUCUUUACCAGAUAUUUUAUAUAUGACAUUUCAAUUAUCUCUUGAAAACUACAAAUAUAUAUUUAUAUAUAAUUAUAAUCAUAUUACUGAUGAAAAUUAUGAGAUUGAAUGGCAGUAAUAUACUCAAGGACACAUUAGGAAAUUAUGAGUUAAAAUAUGUGCUCAACUCUCAUUUUUUUAGACUCCUUUGAUGUCUCUCCUUAAAUGCAUUUUCAAACUUUAAAGUUACAAAUUCACAUAUUUUAUAUGACAUUGCCAAUUUAAAAAUAAGUGAAAGAGCCCUGCUCUAAUUUAAACUACUUCCAAAUUUCUCCCUAUGAGCAUUCUUCCCUUAUCCAUAUUCAAGUAAAAUUAUUUACAUUUAUAAUCUUUUUAAAAGUUAUUCCUGUUGUUUUACAUGUUAGUUAAUGUAUUUUCUUUUUCUUUGAGGAAUUUUGGGGUGAGUCAUAGGGAGUCUUUCGAGGACAACUUGCUUAGCAAAUAGACUUUCUUCCUUGUUUGCUUUUUAGCAAGUAUUUUAGAUCAGUGAAAUAAGGGCAAGAUAGGCAAGACAAGAAAAAAGAUCCAAUUAGAGAAGUUCACUUACCAUUUGUCGGCAAUAGAUUUGACUAUGGUUGCCAUUUUGAAAGUUUAUUCCUAAGAGGAUACUUAUUUCUCGUUAAGCUAAUACAGUUUUAUUUGCUUUAAAACCUUGAAAAUCACACUUAGGUGUUUGUAAUGGGAUAAGUUCUAACCUUGUAUCUCAGGAAUUAUUCUUUAAAAACAGACAGUAAUUCCAGAUUCUUCUACUAGAUCCAAAUCAAUGAUGAAGGCUAUACCUCUGAGGUUAUGGGAUAGGCAACGGAAGUCUUAAAAAAAAAAAAUGGGAAUAUCUAUCUUUUGACCCUAUUUAACAAAGUGAUGAAAAUAUAGUAAUUAAUUGAUAAAUUUUAAGAAAAAAACUAAAAUAUAGUGUAUAGUUCAAUAUAGUACCUUCAGAUAAAUAUGCUCACAGUUCUGAGAUUUUCUAAUCUUCAUUUGUCUUCUAGCAUAAGGCUAUGAAUAAUUUAUUGUCUGUUUAAUUCUUAGAAAUUACUAUAUUAUCCAUAUAAUACUAAAUUCUAAAGAAAAUUUAGUUAUUCAAAAUAAGACUGAACCUUGACUAGCAUUAGCCACUAAGUGGUAAGCAGUAUUCUGCACAUGCUCUUACCUAUGGUUGCUUUUUAGUAUGAUUUCUUAUUUUGAAAAUUUUUAGUAGUUCCUAGGUUUUAAAUCUAAUUCUUUCAUAAGUUUCUUGUACUUUAUAAUUAUAAUCACUUGUCGUUCAGAAGAACAAUACAAAAGGUGGCUAUUAUAUGCUAGUCUCUCAGAUGGAUUAUAUUCUAUCAUGCUGCUGUAGUCCAAACACAAAUACACUGUCUUACUAGUUGAUAUAGAUUGAAAUCUAAGUAAUCUAUAUUGUCAUUCUGGGUGUUGGGGUUUUCCCUGAAAAUCAUGCUUUUCAAUUUCCUUUGAGUCUCUUUGGCUCAAUCUCCUGCUGUUGUAAUUAUUAGAAGUCCAUAGAGACUGGAAUUUCUCAAAAUGUAGACAGUUUUAUUCAGAACAUGAGCCCUCAGGCAUUUCUUUUCAUUUUUACUUAGCUUGGGAUAUAUAGAUACACCUUUGACUUUAAUGUGCUUAUUACAGAGCCUGAACGCAGAGUAUGCUUCCUUGUGCUUUGAGAUACAGGUGGCAAGAAUUCUUGAUCUGCCAAGGAAUUUUAUUUGCUUCUAAAUUCUGACUGUCCCAUUUUAUGACUUUGUUAUAUUAAGAUUUUAAUAGUGCAAAUAAGGGUCAAGGCUUCUUUGUUGAUGAAAUAUUAAAUCACUAUUUAGUCUUCUUACAUCUGACAGUUAUUUUCUACUUCAUCUGUAAAAGCGGAAGUGUGUGAGCUUUCAUCCAGUGGAGUAGUUGGAAUAUAUUCAUAUGAGUUCAGAUCCAUUGAAACCUGCCAACCAUAUAAAAACAGUUGCCAGUGUGGGAGAAGUCUUCCUUGUGUUGUGAUAGAAAGGGUUUCACUGUUUAGAUGUGAACUUAAAAUAAAAAUGUAUUCCUCCAUUUAAAAAAAAAAAAAGCCUGUGCCUACUUGUCCCAGAUGGCUUUCUACAGGAAUGAGGAACAAAGUGGAUUUAUUUGAUAACAUCUUAAAUCUUAAAUUAUUUUUCAAUUUAUAUGUGUAUAUGCUUACAUAUAUUUUACAUAUAUGUGUGUGUGUGUGUGUGUGUGUGCGAGAGAAAAAGUCUUGAUUUAAUGUCAGCUUUAAAUUGGACACAGAAUUUAGUUGGACUUGUUUUUGACCAACUAGGCAAGCAAGCAAAGACUUUUUUUUUUUUUUAAAUGUAUGCAUUUGAUUUUUGAACCAUGACUGAUACUUUGGCAUUUGGAUUUAAAGAGUAUCCAAAAUGAUCUGAAUUUUUAUCAGUGAGUGUUUCUUGACACUAGUAUGGUUUUUCUCUGCUACCUGGGUUCUUUUGUUAGUGAUGGUGUUUUCAUUCUAAUCACCUGUAGCAGCAAAGAUGGAUUCAGAGUUAAAAAAACAUCAAAAUCCUGGCUCAGAGCUCCUCUGGCCAAGGGCCUGGGAGUUGAAGGAGCCAAGAUUUCUCAGGCAUGACUGGAAAGAGAAGUCCCAAUGGUGCUGGAAUGGUGCUACAGUGCCAGAAGAUGGCUCAUGAGUGAGGUGUAGAAGAAUGAUAGGGAAGACAUCUAUCAUUUGCUUGAAAGUAUUCAAGCCAGAUCCUGGGGAGAAUCAUGAGAACUCUUGAUUCCUGAACAGUUUCAGAAGCAGACUCCGAAUGAGCUGAAAUGCACAUGCUUCAGCAUAGUUUGGUAAAAAACUGGUCUUCUUCUUCUCCAUAAACCCCUCUUCCUUUUUUCUUUCUGAGGCCAGUUGUUGCUAUUAUUUCAUCCUUGUUCUAUGCUCUAGGAGUUAUGGUACUUGUACUAGAAAGCCCUCUAAAGUCUCAAAACCCAACCCAAAAGGAAAGGGGUGGGUAUCUUUCCACCGAUAAAGAAGGGACACCAAAACUUGGGUAAGAGUGAUUGAAAGAUGUGGAUUGUUUUACACACUUACUUUGGAAGGCAGGAGAAUACUUAGGAAUUCUUAACAUCCCUAUUGUGCAUGAAUUGCAAGAGUGAACUGUAGAGGGCUUCCUGGAAAUCUGAACAUGACUCAUGAUGGAUAGUCUCUCUCGCUUAACCUUUGAUCAUGCAGAUAUU
Molecule: long non-coding RNA, 3606 nt
Organism: Mustela erminea (ermine)
Lineage: Eukaryota; Metazoa; Chordata; Mammalia; Carnivora; Mustelidae
Exons: 2
Source: RefSeq, a predicted model, not a curated record